GGGAGGGCAUGCUGUGAUUGACGGAGGUCAAGAUGGCGGCGCCCGUUGUUAUUCCGGAUACAGACAGUGUUCGAAAGGCAGUGGCUCUCAUCAGUGCCAUAGAUACAGGCAGGUUCUCUCGGUUACUUUCGCGCAUCCUUCAGAAGCUUCACUUAAAGGCAGAGAGUACUUUCACAGAAGAGGAGGAAGAAAAGCUUCAGGCUGCUUUCUCAGUGGAAAAGCAAGAUUUACAUCUUGUUCUUGAAACUAUAACAUUCAUUUUGGAACAGGCUGUAUAUCACAAUUUGAAGCCAGCAGUUCUGAAACAGCAGUUGGAGCAUUCUAACAUAGAUCAUGACAAAGCAGAAGUCUUUGCAACAACAUGGUCUGCUGCAGGUCCAGAGAUGGUGGAGAAGUUCAGACAAAGGAUUUUGUCACCUCAUAAGCUUGAGACAGUUGGAUGGCAGCUUAACCUUCAGAUGGCUCAAUCUACCCAAGCAAAACAGAAAUCUCCUCAAGCUGUAUUAGAACUUGGUGUGACCAAUGAAGAUUCAAAGAACAUGGAGAAAGUAUUUGUGGAAUUCAGUCAUGAAGAACUGUUUGAGUUCUAUAACAAGUUGGAGACUAUACAAACUCAGCUGGAUUCUCUUACGUGAUACUGUGUGAAGACUACUUUAUCACAUUCCAGCCGCUUCAAUACUGAAGAUAGAUUGGCUGACAGUAUUUGCUGAAAUACUCAGUUGCUUCUCAGGUCGGUGGCUAAAUUCCUCCCUCCCAUGUGGGUCUGAGUGUCUUCAUCACAGUUUUGUGGAGCACAGGAUGGUGUCCCCUCCUCUGGUGGCCCCUCCAUGGGAAGAUCCUAAUGAAGCUGUGGUCUGAAAAUGGAAUGACUCCUGAUUCUCCUGGUCCUGUCACAUUCUUCCACUCCACUGCCUCUUGCCCCUUCUUUUCUUCCUUUUCCUUGGAAACCAUCCCUUUCCAUUGCUUUUUCAGGAAAGAAAGAAGAGGAAAGGAAUGGACAAACAGGGUUAUGGACAGAGGUUAUUGGGUGAUUAUUCUGCUCACAGCAUACAAUGCAAGUAGAACAGGCUUUCUGGCCUCCAAAGACUUGAAUUCAUUAUCCUUUAUAAUGAAGGCAUGAUUUCCUUAUGGGAUUUUAAGGCCUGCAUUGGGGUUUUCCCCCAACACUUAACUGUAUAAAAAUUCAACACAGGGAGUUAAAUGAUGAAGUUCAUUUCAUCAUUUCAUACUCCCAAUUAGUCAUUUCAGAAUGCCCAUGCAUGCCAAACAAAGUUUCUUCUUAGAUGAGACUUGGGGGAGAUCGACACUGGAGCCCCUUCCGAUUACAAGGGAAGCUGCUCUGGUGUUUAUGCAAAACACAAAAGGCAUCUAUCACAGUCCGGGCACAUGCUCAUGAAUAAAGAGUCUUUCAAAAUGGGAGCUGGUGUCACACACAAAUGCAAGUGCGUUGUGGGAGAAGUCAAGGGAGUUUGAAAGGGGAUGUAUGCAGGGAAAUGGCUCUUUAAGAUUCCUUUGUUUUGUGCUUGUUUGUUUUGUAGCUCAAUUAGCUAUGCAAAGGUGUGAUGGGAGCCAAACAGAGAUAGUUUUGAAAAGAAAAGAAAAGAAAACCAGUUGACAGCUCUUCUGCUCCCUGACAAAGUCAUGGAGAAGGAGAAGGGGUGCUGCCCUCU
This is an RNA transcript of Varanus komodoensis (Komodo dragon), 1670 nucleotides long. It is a transcript of the gene named COMM domain containing 10, with no coding region annotated. NCBI's taxonomy places the organism in Eukaryota, Metazoa, Chordata, Lepidosauria, Squamata, Varanidae. The transcript has 8 exons. The record is from RefSeq and is a predicted model, not a curated record.